This 388-nucleotide ribosomal RNA is filed under the name uncultured bacterium. Its description in RNAcentral is "bacterial SSU rRNA". It matches the Rfam family "Bacterial small subunit ribosomal RNA", at positions 29 to 416 of the family's 1533-position model. The record is from RNAcentral.
AACGAACGCUAGCGGGAUGCCUCAAACAUGCAAGUCGCACGCGAAAGGUAGCAAUACCGAGUAGAGUGGCGCACGGGUGAGUAACACGUAACUAACGUACCCUUUCGCUGGGGAUAACUCCGGGAAACCGGAGCUAAUACCGAAUGAUCUAACUGGGACUGCGGUCUCGGUUGGUAAAGGCGUAAGCCGCGAAAGGAUCGGGUUGCGGUCUAUUAGCUAGUUGGUGAGGUAAUGGCUCACCAAGGCGACGAUAGAUAGCUGGUCUGAGAGGAUGAUCAGCCACACUGGAACUGGAACACGGUCCAGACUCCCACGGGAGGCAGCAGUUGGGAAUAUUGGACAAUGGGCGCAAGCCUGAUCCAGCAAUCCCGCGUGAGGGACGAAGGCC